Molecule: ribosomal RNA, 468 nt
Filed under: uncultured bacterium
Lineage: Bacteria
Description: SSU rRNA
Rfam family: Bacterial small subunit ribosomal RNA
Source: RNAcentral
AGGACGAACGCUGGCGGCGUGCUUAACACAUGCAAGUCGAGCGGAAAGGCCCUUCGGGGUACUCGAGCGGCGAACGGGUGAGUAACACGUGAGUAAUCUGCCCCUAGCUCUGGGAUAGCUCCGGGAAAACCGGGAUUAAUACCGGAUACGACCACCUUAGACAUCUUUUGUGGUGGAAAGAAUUUCGGCUAGGGAUGAGCUCGCGGCCUAUCAGCUUGUUGGUGGGGUAACGGCCUACCAAGGCGACGACGGGUAGCCGGCCUGAGAGGGCGACCGGCCACACUGGGACUGAGACACGGCCCAGACUCCUACGGGAGGCAGCAGUGGGAAUAUUGCGCAAUGGGCGAAAGCCUGACGCAGCGACGCCGCGUGGGGAUGAAGGCCUUCGGGUUGUAAACCCUUUCAGCAGGGACGAAAUCAGACGGUACCUGCAGAAGAAGCGCCGGCUAACUACGCGCCAGCAGCCGC